AUUGGAAGGGGUGUAUUUAUUAGAUAAAAAACCAACGCCCUUCGGGGCUUCUUGGUGAUUCAUGAUAACUUCACGGAUCGCAUGGCCUUGCGCCGGCGACGGUUCAUUCAAAUUUCUGCCCUGUCAACUUUCGAUGGUAAGGUAUUGGCUUACCAUGGUUUCAACGGGUAACGGGGAAUUAGGGUUCGAUUCCGGAGAGGGAGCCUGAGAAACGGCUACCACAUCCAAGGAAGGCAGCAGGCGCGCAAAUUACCCAAUCCCGACACGGGGAGGUAGUGACAAUAAAUACUGAUACAGGGCUCUUUUGGGUCUUGUAAUUGGAAUGAGUACAAUUUAAACCUCUUAACGAGGAACAAUUGGAGGGCAAGUCUGGUGCCAGCAGCCGCGGUAAUUCCAGCUCCAAUAGCGUAUAUUAAAGUUGUUGCAGUUAAAAAGCUUGUAGUUGAAACUUGGGCCUGGCUGGCAGGUCCGCCCCACCGCGUGUACUUGUCCGGCCGGGCCUUUCCUUCUGGAGAACCUCAUGCCCUUCACUGGGUGUGCUGGGGAACCAGGACUUUUAC
This 560-nucleotide ribosomal RNA is filed under the name uncultured fungus. Its description in RNAcentral is "SSU rRNA". It matches the Rfam family "Eukaryotic small subunit ribosomal RNA", at positions 191 to 755 of the family's 1831-position model. The record is from RNAcentral. Lineage: Eukaryota; Fungi.